RNAcentral lists this ribosomal RNA (480 nucleotides) under uncultured bacterium. RNAcentral's name for it is "bacterial SSU rRNA". It matches the Rfam family "Bacterial small subunit ribosomal RNA", at positions 32 to 490 of the family's 1533-position model. The record is from RNAcentral.
AAUCAACGCUGGCGGCGUGCCUAACACAUGCAAGUCGAACGAGAAAGUGACUUCGGUCACUGGAUAGUGGCGUCCGGGUGAGUAACACGUAGGUAAUCUACCUUCGGGUGGGGAAUAACUCGCCGAAAGGCGAGCUAAUACCGCAUAAUGCAGCGGCACCUAAUGGUGAUUAGUUGUUAAAGCGGGGGAUCUUCGGACCUCGCGCCUGAAGAGGAGCCUGCGGCAGAUAGCUAGUUGGUGAGGUAAUGGCUCACCAAGGCUUCGAUCUGUAGCUGGUCUGAGAGGACGGCCAGCCACACUGGCACUGACACACGGGCCAGACUCCUACGGGAGGCAGCAGUGGGGAAUUUUGGGCAAUGGGCGAAAGCCUGACCCAGCAACGCCGCGUGAAGGAGGAAAUCCUUCGGGAUGUAACUUCAUAAGUAAGGGAAGAAAGCUGCGGAUUGAAUAAAUCCGCAGUCCGACGGUACCUUACGUAAG